UCCCGGUCCCGCUCCAGAUCCCGGUCCCGAUUCCAAUCCAGAUCCCGGUCCCGAUCCUCACCUGCAUCUUUCCCGUCCCCACCUCUCCACUUCCUCCCCCCGCUCCAGCCAAUCGCCUGCCUCAGACUCCGCGCCUCAGCCAAUCAGAUCGCGGUCCGCCUAAAAGUCCCGCCUUCCUGCCAAUCAUAUUGGUGGCCACGCAGGCAGCGCCACUGCCGGUGUUCUGAUUGGCUGCAGGGGAAAGGGGCGGGGGCGGCUCGGACCAAUCGGAGCGGGCGGUGGCAGUUCGGGGGUCCCAAUCCCAGUCCCGGACUCGAUCCCGGUCCCAAUCCCGGUCCCGGUCCCGAUCACAAUCCCGUCCCAAACCUGGUCCCGGUCCCGGUCCCGGUCCCGGUCCCGGUCCCGGUCCCAAUCCCGAUCCCGGUCCCGGUCCUGAUCCCGGUCCUGGCCCUGGUCCCAGUCCUGAUCCUGGUCCCAGUCCCGGUCCCGGUCCCAAGGUGUCCCAGCCCCGAGUCGGGACCCCCGGGGUUCCCUCCCAGCCGUCCCGCAGGACGAUCCCCCAGGAGGAUCCCAACAGAUCCCAAUCCCCGCGGGGAUUCGCAGUCACCCCCGGGAUCCCAGAUCCCUCCGGAUCCCCCAGGGAACCGCAGCAUCCCGCAGAGCGGAUCCCGGAUCCGUCGUGGACUUCUGGGAGAGUCAAAAUCCCCCUGGGAACCCCUGAGUGGAUCCCAGUUUUCUUGGGCAUCCCUGGAGAGAGGGGCUGGGGCAGACCCCAGACCCCUCAGGGAUCCCCAGGUGCUCCCAGAGCAGAUCCCAAAUCCCCUGGGAACCACUGGGUGCCCCAGCACAGAGCCAGGAUCCCCCUGGGACCCUCAGCAGCCGCCCCAAAAGGAACCCCAGUCCCUGGGAGAUCCUUGGGAAGUCUCCAGGAGCAGAUCCCGGAUCCCUCAGGGACCGACAAUCCCCUCCAGAGCCAGGAUCCGUGCUGGGAUCAUCCCGCUGGAUUCACUCGGGGCAGCAGCUCCCGCCCCCCGGGGGGGUCCCGCGGUGUCCCCCCCGCGGUGUCCCCAUCCCUCGGGGACACGGUCACGGUGA
This 1095-nucleotide long non-coding RNA is filed under the name Parus major (Great Tit). Its description in RNAcentral is "lncRNA (ENSPMJG00000004005.1)". The record is from RNAcentral. Lineage: Eukaryota; Metazoa; Chordata; Aves; Passeriformes; Paridae.